AGGGUUUGAUUCUGGCUCAGAACGUACGCUGGCGGCACGCCUAACACAUGCAAGUCGAACGAAGUAGCAAUACUUAGUGGCAGACGGGUGAGUAACAUGUAGGUAUCUGCCCUUUGGCCUGGAAUAACACGAGGAAACUUGUGCUAAUACCGGAUAAGUCUUUACGGAGAAAGCUUUAUGCACCAUUGGAUGAGCCUGCACUUGAUUAGUUUGUUGGUGGGGUAAUGGCCUACCAAGACUGUGAUCAAUAGCUGAUUUGAGAGGAUGAUCAGCCACAUUGGGACUGAGACACGGCCCAAACUCCUACGGGAGGCAGCAGUGGGGAAUCUUGCACAAUGGAGGAAACUCUGAUGCAGCGAUGCCGCGUGAGUGAAGAAGGCCCUUGGGUUGUAAAGCUCUUUCGUCGGGGAAGAAAAUGACUGUACCCGAAUAAGAAGGUCCGGCUAACUUCGUGCCAGCCGCCGCGGUAAUAC
Molecule: ribosomal RNA, 473 nt
Filed under: uncultured bacterium
Lineage: Bacteria
Description: bacterial SSU rRNA
Rfam family: Bacterial small subunit ribosomal RNA
Source: RNAcentral